AUUAAACGCUGGCGGCAUGCCUUACACAUGCAAGUCGAACGGCAGCACGGGGGCAACCCUGGUGGCGAGUGGCGAACGGGUGAGUAAAGCAUCGGAACGUGCCCUGGAGUGGGGGAUAACGUAGCGAAAGUUACGCUAAUACCGCAUAUUCUGUGAGCAGGAAAGCAGGGGAUCGCAAGACCUUGCGCUCUGGGAGCGGCCGAUGUCGGAUUAGCUAGUUGGUGGGGUAAAGGCCUACCAAGGCGACGAUCCGUAGCGGGUCUGAGAGGAUGAUCCGCCACACUGGGACUGAGACACGGCCCAGACUCCUACGGGAGGCAGCAGUGGGGAAUUUUGGACAAUGGGCGAAAGCCUGAUCCAGCCAUGCCGCGUGAGAGAAGAAGGCCU
Molecule: ribosomal RNA, 387 nt
Filed under: uncultured bacterium
Lineage: Bacteria
Description: bacterial SSU rRNA
Rfam family: Bacterial small subunit ribosomal RNA
Source: RNAcentral